RNAcentral lists this ribosomal RNA (880 nucleotides) under uncultured bacterium. RNAcentral describes it as "bacterial SSU rRNA". It matches the Rfam family "Bacterial small subunit ribosomal RNA", at positions 8 to 879 of the family's 1533-position model. The record is from RNAcentral.
AGAGUUUGAUCCUGGCUCAGGAUGAACGCUAGCUACAGGCUUAACACAUGCAAGUAGAGGGGCAGCAUGAAUAAAGUUUCGGCUUUAUUUGAUGGCGACCUGCGAAUGGGUGAGUAACACGUAUCCAACCUGCCUGUUACUGGAGGAUAGCCUCCCGAAAGGGAAAUUAACACUCCAUAUUAUAUAGAUGAGGCAUCUUGUUUAUAUGAAAGUUUCACGGUAACGGAUGGGGAUGCGUCCCAUUAGAUAGUAGGCGGGGUAACGGCCCACCUAGUCGACGAUGGGUAGGGGUUCUGAGAGGAAGGUCCCCCACAUUGGAACUGAGACACGGUCCAAACUCCUACGGGAGGCAGCAGUGAGGAAUAUUGGUCAAUGGGCGAGAGCCUGAACCAGCCAAGUAGCGUGCAGGAUGACGGCCCUAUGGGUUGUAAACUGCUUUUAUACGGGGGUAAAGUCAUCCACGUGUGGAUGUUUGCAAGUACCGUAAGAAAAAGGAUCGGCUAAUUCCGUGCCAGCAGCCGCGGUAAUACGGAAGAUCCGAGCGUUAUCCGGAUUUAUUGGGUUUAAAGGGAGCGUAGGCGGACGAGCAAGUCAGUUGUGAAAGUUUGCGGCUCAACCGUAAAAUUGCAGUUGAAACUGUUUGUCUUGAGUUCACAUAAGGAUGGUGGAAUUUGUGGUGUAGCGGUGAAAUGCAUAGAUAUCACGAAGAACUCCGAUUGCGAAGGCAGCCAUCCGGGGUGCGACUGACGCUGAGGCUCGAAAGUGCGGGAAUCAAACAGGAUUAGAUACCCUGGUAGUCCGCACCGUAAACGAUGGAUACUCGUGGUUGGCGAUAGACAGUCAGUCACCAAGCGAAAGCGUUAAGUAUCCCACCUGGGGA